GAUGAACGCUGGCGGCGUGCUUAACACAUGCAAGUCGAACGAGAAGUGAAGACGGAAACCUUCGGGCGGAAGGCUUUAUUUCGAGUGGCGGACGGGUGAGUAACGCGUGGGUAACCUGCCUCAUACAGGGGGAUAACAGUUGGAAACGACUGUUAAUACCGCAUAAGACCACAGCACCGCAUGGUGCGGGGGUAAAAACUCCGGUGGUAUGAGAUGGACCCGCGUUCGAUUAGCCAGUUGGCGGGGUAACGGCCCACCAAAGCGACGAUCGAUAGCCGAUCUGAGAGGAUGACCGGCCACAUUGGGAGUGAGACACGGCCCAAACUCCUACGGGAGGCAGCAGUGGGGAAUAUUGCACAAUGGGGGAAACCCUGAUGCAGCGACGCCGCGUGAGUGAAGAAGUAUUUCGGUAUGUAAAGCUCUAUCAGCAGGGAAGAAAAUGACGGUACCUGAGUAAGAAGCCCCGGCUAACUACGUG
This 478-nucleotide ribosomal RNA is filed under the name uncultured bacterium. Its description in RNAcentral is "partial 16S ribosomal RNA". It matches the Rfam family "Bacterial small subunit ribosomal RNA", at positions 28 to 507 of the family's 1533-position model. The record is from RNAcentral.